Long non-coding RNA from Cydia splendana, 1220 nucleotides. RefSeq lists it as uncharacterized. The record is from RefSeq and is a predicted model, not a curated record. Lineage: Eukaryota; Metazoa; Arthropoda; Insecta; Lepidoptera; Tortricidae. The transcript is spliced from 2 exons.
GACUUGUCCACCGGAAGACACAAUUUUGUGAGCCCGCAAUUGACUACGGAGAAAAUGACGUCUACACAACCGCACCACAUAAGAUAACUCCAAAUCAUUUAUAAGGACUCGGCGACCGUGAAGAUUCAUAAACAAUACCGACGAGUUAUAGUACGCACGCAUCAAAAGAUAGUAGUGUAAACAAAAAUGAAGAAGCUAUAUAUAGUAGUGCUGUUUGUGUCGGUCCUCGUCUUCACAAAUGCAAGGCAUAUACACCCCCAUGAAGUUCCCCAUGCACGACAUCAAGAUGUAGAAGAGUUAUGUGAGCAUGGAGCUAAGAAAGCUUUAAAAACCGCGCCGAGCAGAGAAGAAUACAUUAAUGUGGAGGUAAUAGAUGAAAUUUCACGCAACAUUAAACCAAACCGCUUCGUGCCACUGAACAACCCGAUCUUCUUCAUGGGUCACACGCCUUGUCCCGAGGAGGGCUUCAAGAGGGACUAUUUGGGUAUCUGCAGGGAAGUCUGGGACUAGCUGGACCAAAAUCGUUUUAGCUACUUGUCCACCAAAAAAAAAUGAUUGGCAGACGAAUAAAAACUGGGCAUGGUAUGCUUGCCAUCUCUUGGGCAUUGCUCAAGUUAUCUUCAAACGCUGGCGCGAUAAAUUGUAGAAAUAAUAAUAAACUCAUGCUCAGUGGUAUGAUCUACUCUAAAUAUUAAGCUGCUUUAUAUUAAUGUGAUAUUAGUUAUAAGAUUUAGUUUAUAGAGUCUUGUUCGUGUAUCAUGGACACGGCAAAUAUAAGAUAAGUUGUAGUAGUGUAAUGGUGCCCCUAUAUUGGCUGUUAUAAAAUGUUAUAUACCUCACAUCGUGUGACAGGGGCAGCAAGAUACUAUUGAUAGUGUUUCAUUAUGUUGUCCCUGUCAAACGAUGUUAUAUAACAGCCAAUGUGGGAGCAACAUAAUACAAUAAGUGUGCCACAUGACUGAGACGCCAAUGUAUUUACGAAAGUUUGAUACAACGGUUGGCAUAACAACAAACAACUUCAUUCAAAAAGCGUUUCAGUCGUGCGGCAAACCUAGUCCUUGAUGUUAGAUAAGAUAUCCUGCAAAGGUUAAAAAUACUUUAUCACUUCUUGGAGAGAUAAAUAUUUUGAAGUGCAGUGGAAUAUUUUAUAGUUUUUCAACGAUUGUAAAGAGUGCUUACUGAUUAUGAUUAUGAUAAUAAAUAUGAUCGUGCAACACAAA